RNAcentral lists this long non-coding RNA (4990 nucleotides) under Triticum aestivum (bread wheat). Its description in RNAcentral is "long non-coding RNA (TAES_LNC000356)". The record is from RNAcentral. Lineage: Eukaryota; Viridiplantae; Streptophyta; Magnoliopsida; Poales; Poaceae.
CCAGCCUCCUCACCUCUCCCCUCUAGGCCUCCCCGACCACCCAAACGAGCUCGCGGAGCUCUCGUUGCCCUCCCAUGGCCGAAGCUUCGCCGCGGUGCUCCGCUCAAAUCCGGCCGACCCGAGCCACCCCUCCACUCCCUGAUCUUACCCUAGUAUUCCCCGUGCUCCUGCGAGUCUCCUCAACCCCAAGCCUUGCCGCCGGAGCAGCCACAUCGCCAUUCCCGCAUCUGCCCGAACCGCCGUCCGCCGGAGUUCAUGUCGUCGUCGCCUCAGUCCAUUCUGGAGCCCGUGACCUCCACCUUCGGGUGCGGCUCCUCCUGCUGAGCUCGCCCAUAGGUCGAGCGAGGCGAGGGAUGGCCGGAGCCGGCCGGACGAGCCCCCGCGCCGGCGACGUCCCUCUGCUCCGCGGGCGCGAGCGAGGUAGAUGAAGACGACGACCCCCCCUGCGAACUGGCCGCGGGCCCCGCGCGUCAGCCCCUCAGCCGUUGACCCGCCAGCCAUGUCAGAUAAGUGGAGACGAAUUUCCAGCUUUCCGUUUUCUCCUUCCAAAAGCGUAUUUCGCCUCUAUUUCAGCUAAAAUACGCUUCCCUUAUCUGAAAGCGUAUUAUGUAUCUGUUUCAGCAAGGAAUACGUUUUCCCUGAAGCCAAGGCGUAUUCUUUAAAGUACGCUUUCCGUUUUUCUGCCCAGGCCCAAUUUGUUAAGAUUUUUCUUACAGAUAGGCCCCUGACAGAGAAACAAGUGUAUCUUUUUACUCCUAGCUCCGAAUCAGGUGAAUCCAAAGCUCACUUCUUCGUUUCGUCGAGCCCGUUCUGAUGGAAUCAUUUUCAGCAUGUUUUGACAUUCUGAAAAUGACCAUUUUGCCCCUGCCUUAUUUAGCCCCCUCCGAGAGAGAACGUUUUCGACGAUCCUUUCCGCGAGCUUCUCGCACUUCUUUUCGGUGAUUUCUUCCACCCCAGGCAAGACACACCCUCCAUUUGCAUGAUUGCAAUGCAGUGACAUGGUUUCUUUAUUUAAACUUGUUUAAAAUAUUGUGUUAGCUAGGUAUGAUUUGUUCAUGGCAUUUCUCGGAGUAUUGUUUGAUCUUGAUAUUGCCAUGAUAUUGCUUGGAGUUCUAGGAUUAAUAUUUUGAUGAUUAUGUGGAUGACAUGUGCCUUCGGAUUCUUAGUGGUUAUUAUGAUUAUUUUUCAUGAUGGUAUCUGGUGAUAUUUUGGAGUAUUACUUUGGAUAUCAUGCUGCCUUUGGAUUAUUAGUGGUUAGUAUGAUUAUUUUUCAUGAUGCUAGUUGACGUUCUGUUGCUUGGAGUAUUAUUUUCGGAGAUGAUGUUUACAUGUGGAUCUUAGCCGAAUAGCUUUAUUCUUGUUAUUGGAGUAGUAGGAUUAUUGAUUUUCGGAUUCAUCAUGACAGUAGUGUUGUGCUACCCUUGGAGUAUUUUGAGAUGAGGAGAUUAUGCUUGGAUUAUUUGUUGGAUAUUGCUAUGACUUGGAUUAUAGGUUGAUAGAUGAUAUUGGAGUAUCAAUUACCACAGUUAUAUUUUUGGGGAUAAAUUCCGUCAUUAAGUUGGUCAAGUGCCACCGAACCGGGCUUUUCCAGUGCAACCACAUUUGCCUUUAUGGGAAGGCCCUAAUGCGGUCUAUUGUCAUGUCUCUCGCCGGUGCCUCCAACGAGGGAAGGUUAUGGGCGUGCGUACCCUGGCCCGGUAAGCAGACAUAACCUUGUGUGCCCGUUGUUGUUGUUAUGGAUCUGGUCCCCGUGAGGGACGUUUUGGCCACGACAGUGGUCGGUGUGUCUUUGGUAGACACGGGGCCACCCAGGACCAAACCCAGAAGGGAUGUUGGUCGGAGUGGCCGGGAGAGUGUCAUGGCAGUAGAUCGGUUUUGUCGGAACGCCGUUGGUCCACCCGAAUGGGAGUACGAGGUCAUGGGUUCUGUGGUGUGGGUACAAUGUGCUACCUCUGCAGAGUGUAUUAAUCUAUCGAUAGUCGUGUCCUCGGUCAUGGGCAUGGGUUCGUACUAGGUCCCACCAUUUGAUCAACACUCACAUGACGGAAUGACUUAUAGGUGAUUUAUAUGAUGAUAUAUUGUGAGCAGUAACAGUUUGGCAGGAUGUUGAUGAUGAUGUUGGAGACCAAGUGUUGGUCAUGGUUGUGAUCGCCGGAAAGAUCACAGUUUGAGACCAAGUGUUGGUUAUGGUAGUGAUCGCCGGAAAGAUCACCGUGUGGUUUUGAUCAUGAGUUGAUCGAGAUGGUAUAUUGCUUGGCCGGUUAGCUAAGAGAGAUAUGGUUAUGGAGAUCUGAGAUGGCGAUUUAUCAGCACCGUAUUAGUUUCAUCUCAUGCUUAGUAGUUGCUUCAUCAUGGUAGUUGUUAAUCAAUUAACCUGUUAAUGCUAUGUUAUUGUCUUGCCUUGAUGUUUAUGGUUUUUGUGAGCUUGCAAGUACAUUCAAUGUACUGACCUGGUGUGUCAUGCCAGAUUGCAGGUGAUGUCAUGAUUGCUUGAUUGCUUGUCGAGGUUGCCGUGCGUGCGAGCUAGAUCGUGUCCCAGCCAGAGUCCCUGCAGAGUGGAGUUCACCACCUUCGUCGUUGUUCCGCUGCUAGAAGUAUUCCGCUGCUACGAGUUGUUCCGCUGCUAGCAUAGAGCAAGUAUAGUAUCGCAGGCGUGGUGUCGCAGUGCUGAUGUGCUUCUUUGUAACAUCAGACCCUUCUAAUUUUUAUUCUUGUAAUAAGAGAUGAUUUGUUCUAUGUCAAGCAGUGCCGUAUUCCAGAGACUUCUCCUCGAUCUCUGGGCUGGAAUACGGGGCGUUCCGGUUUCUCUGAGCCGGGGUGCCACAUAGAGAGCAACAACGGUCAUGAAGAUGCAUUAUGCGUAAGUAACAUUGGAUACUAGCAUGAGUAGGAUAUGAACACAAUGAACAUAAAUAUCAUAGAGGCUAUGUUGGUUUUGAUUCAACUACAUGCAUGAACAUGUGCCAAGUCAAGCCACUCGAACAUUCUGAGGAGGAUACCAUAUCAUCAUACUACAUCACAAUCAUUUUAACGCAAUGUUGACAUCCAAGAUAAAUCAUUAUCCACACCUAGCUACUUAUGCAUGGCAUGAGAAACUAUAAUCUCUAAUGGUCAUUGCAAACAUGUUUAAUCAUAAUAGGCUGAAUCAUGGAUACUAGGUUAAACAUAUUUACAAAAACAGAACAAGUCGAGUUCAUACCCGUUUCUCUCUGCCACGACCAGUUCAUCAAAUAUCGUCAUUAUUGCCUUUCACUUGCACGACCGAAUGAUAUGAAAAUAAUAACAGUGCAAGAGUGCCAUGGACUAAGCUGAAAUCUGCAAACAUUUUAUUCAAAAGAAGAAGACAAGGUAAUAUGGGCUCUCUGUUAGAUCAAAAAUAAUGCAUAUGAGAGCCACUCAACAUUUUCAUCAUGGUCUUCUCCUCGGUACGACUCAAUAAAAAGAAAAGAUAUUAAGAGAAACACACUGAAAUAUUCUCGGAGUUUUUUGGUUUUCUGAAAAAAGGAACUGAAAAAGAAAAAAAAGAAAAACGAGAAAAACUAUUUACACGGGAAAGCUCCCAACAAGUAAAAGAAGAACAAGGAAAUCUUUUUGGGUUUUCUUCUUUAAUUACUACAACUAACUAUGCUAGAAAGGAAACCGAAAAGAAGCAAGCAACAUAUUUUUGGGUUUUCUCAAAGUUUAUAAAACACACAAGAAGAAAGCAAGAAAAUAAAUUAAACAUGGAUUAUACAAUGAAAAAGUGUGAACACCGACAACUGAAAUGUGUGAGCAUGAAUGUAAUGUUGGUGAGAAAUACGUACCCCCCCAAGCUUAGGCUUUUGGCCUAACUUGGUAAUCAGUCAGUAGCCUGCAUAGUGAUUGGAGUAAUAGCUCACGGAGGCUCUCGGUGCGGAUGCCUCAGCCUGUCUUGCGGCCACAACCGCCGCGUUAUGAGCUCGGGCCUCGCUCUCAAGAACAAAAUAUCUUCCCCUACUGUGAACAUCAAAGAGAGUAGGCGCAGGCAAAUAUGUGUGCACACCAGAAAUUUGAUUAAACAAAAACUUAUAGGUGAAAUUAUGGGGCUCACCUCUAGGGAUCUUAUGACGUUUCAUAGCAUGAAAGUCUAAAUACUGAGUGGGUAAAUGUUGGGGAACGUAGCAUGUGAUACGUCUCCGUCGUAUCUACUUUUCCAAACACUUUUGCCCUUGUUUUGGACUCUAACUUGCAUGAUUUGAAUGGAACUAACCCAGACUGACGCUAUUUUCAGCAGAAUUGACAUGGUGUUAUUUUUGUGCAGAAACAAAAGUUCUCGGAAUGACCUAAAAAUCAUCGGAGAAUUAUUUUGGGACAUAUAAAAAAUACUGGCGAAAGAAUCAAGGCCAGGGGGCCCACACCCUGUCCACGAGGGUGGGAGGCGCGCCUGCCCCCUGGGCGCGCCCCCUGCCUCGUGGGCCCCCCGGAGGUCCACCGACCUCAACUCCAACUCCAUAUAUUCGUGUUCGGGGAGAAAAAAUCAGAGAGAAGGAUUCAUCGCUUUAUUACGAUAUGGAGCCGCCGCCAAGCCCUAACUCUCUCGGGAGGGCUGAUCUGGAGUCCGUUCGAGGCUCCGGAGAGGGGAUUCCGUCGCCAUCGUCAUCAUCAACCAUCCUCCAUCACCAAUUUCAUGAUGCUCACCGCCGUGCGUGAGUAAUUCCAUCAUAGGCUUGCUGGACGGUGAUGGGUUGGAUGAGAUUUAUCAUGUAAUCGAGUUAGUUUUGUUAGGGUUUGAUACCUAGUAUCCACUAGGUUCUGAGAUUGAUGUUGCUAUGACUUUGCUAUGCUUAAUGCUUGUCACUAGGGCCCGAGUGCCAUGAUUUCAGAUCUGAACCUAUUAUGUUUUCAUGAAUAUAUGUGAGUUCUUGAUCCUAUCUUGCAAGUCCAUAGUCACCUACUAUGUGUUAUGAUCCGGCAAUCCCGAAGUGACAAUAAUCGGGACCACUCCCGGUGAUGACCGUAGUUUGAGGAGUUC